CCUACGGGUGGCAGCAGUGAGGAAUAUUGGUCAAUGGCCGGAAGGCUGAACCAGCCAAGCCGCGUGAAGGACGAAGGUGCCAAGCAUCGUAAACCUCUUUUGUCAGGGGACAAAAACUGGGUCGAGAGCCUGGACGAGUGUACCUGAAGAAAAAGCAUCGGCUAACUCCGUGCCAGCAGCCGCGGUAAUACGGAGGAUGCGAGCGUUAUCCGGAUUUAUUGGGUUUAAAGGGUGCGCAGGCGGACUGUUAAGUCAGCGGUAAAAGCCCGGGGCUCAACCCCGGCGAGCCGUUGAAACGGGCUGUCUCGAGGUGGCGAGAGGUAUGCGGAAUGCGCGGUGUAGCGGUGAAAUGCUUAGAGAUUGCGCAGAACUCCGAUUGCGAAGGCAGCAUGCCGGCGGCGCUCUGACGCUGAGGCACGAAAGCGUGGGUAUCGAACAGGAUUAGAUACCCGGGUAGUC
This 459-nucleotide ribosomal RNA is filed under the name uncultured bacterium. RNAcentral's name for it is "partial 16S ribosomal RNA". It matches the Rfam family "Bacterial small subunit ribosomal RNA", at positions 338 to 795 of the family's 1533-position model. The record is from RNAcentral.